Molecule: long non-coding RNA, 673 nt
Filed under: Manihot esculenta (cassava)
Lineage: Eukaryota; Viridiplantae; Streptophyta; Magnoliopsida; Malpighiales; Euphorbiaceae
Description: long non-coding RNA (MESC_LNC002474)
Source: RNAcentral
UGAACCAGAUCGCACAAGCUUGAACAAGAGCCAAAUAGAUUUUUAUUCGAGAAGAAAAGCUAAAAUUUCCAUCUAUGUUAAAGAGAAAUGUUACCAAAUCUACAAUCCCUUUUACACUGUAGUCACGGACAAACUAAUAUCAGAGCCUAAAACAAAUACCUUAGAGAGACACAGGCACAAAAACUGGCUUGGCUAUAAGAUUCAUUCUCACUCAUUUUGCAAGUUAAGUUUAGGUGCUGACACCAUCUUUCUCUGCAACUCCAGCAGCAUCAGUUGUAGAAGUUUUUGAAGAUGGUGGUUCAGCACAUGCCUUCAAGACAGCUUCGUUCUGUAAGAGCAUGAGUAAGAGCACAAGAUAUGAAUAAUAAAUUAGAAAAACUAUUAGAAGACACCCAUCAAAAUUUGAGGUAAACAAAUCGCAUAAAUUCUGUGAUACCGUGUUUUUUUGUGCAAAAGGAGAACAGCUUUGGAGAAGCCAGUAAUCAACUAUUGGUAUAAAGCAUCUUAAAAAAACUUUAGAUCGUGAGCUUAUAACUAAAGAAACAAAAUUCAAAUAACAAGAACCCAGAUUAAGCACAUGGCUAACUCCAGCAGGCAUACCAAAGCCGUAGAUGCAAAUUUAAUUUUCCUUUUUAUCAUAGGAUGCCAUAAUUUAGUGAUGUCACCUUNNNNN